Molecule: ribosomal RNA, 505 nt
Filed under: uncultured bacterium
Lineage: Bacteria
Description: partial 16S ribosomal RNA
Rfam family: Bacterial small subunit ribosomal RNA
Source: RNAcentral
GACGAACGCUGGCGGCGUGCCUAAUACAUGCAAGUCGAACGCACAGUUUAUACCGUAGCUUGCUACACCAUAAACUGUGAGUUGCGAACGGGUGAGUCACGCGUAGGUAACCUGCCUGGUAGCGGGGGAUAACUAUUGGAAACGAUAGCUAAUACCGCAUAAUAUUGAUUACUGCAUGAUAAUUGAUUGAAAGAUGCUAUUGCAUCACUACCAGAUGGACCUGCGUUGUAUUAGCUAGUAGGUGAGGUAACGGCUCACCUAGGCGACGAUACAUAGCCGACCGGAAAGGGUGAUCGGCCACACUGGGACUGAGACACGGCCCAGACGCCUACGGGAGGCAGCAGUAGGGAAUCUUCGGCAAUGGACGAAAGUCUGACCGAGCAACGCCGAGUGAGGGAAGAAGGUUGUCGGAUCGUAAAGCUCGGUUGUAAGAGAAGAACGGGUGUGAGAGUGGAAAGUUCACACUGUGACGGUAUCUUAACAGAAAGGGACGGCUAACUACGUG